RNAcentral lists this small RNA (31 nucleotides) under Bombyx mori (domestic silkworm). RNAcentral's name for it is "ovarian small RNA-27746". The record is from RNAcentral. Lineage: Eukaryota; Metazoa; Arthropoda; Insecta; Lepidoptera; Bombycidae.
UCCUAUUGCGGGUGAGCGUGCAAGCACGCCA